This 267-nucleotide ribosomal RNA is filed under the name Triticum aestivum (bread wheat). Its description in RNAcentral is "partial small subunit ribosomal RNA". Lineage: Eukaryota; Viridiplantae; Streptophyta; Magnoliopsida; Poales; Poaceae. The record is from RNAcentral.
AUGGCAGGCAUUGGUGGUAAUCUGCUUCUACUUUCUGUAUGUAGCUGGGAGCGUCUGCCUGUUGGACGCCCGAAGAGCGUCAAGUUUAAUCCUUGGGAUGAAGAAGACGAACUACGGCGCCCCACUUGGGCUUACAAGUGGGAUGUGGUAUCCGAGAUGACAAACGAUGUCAAUCUCAUAUACCAAAAGUACAUUGCCGAGUUGGACAACAUUGCGCCUGAGCAGGUAACAAGGACAUUACUUCAGUCAUUUCUCAUGCUUGCCUGA